RNAcentral lists this unclassified non-coding RNA (279 nucleotides) under plant metagenome. Its description in RNAcentral is "partial contains small subunit ribosomal RNA, internal transcribed spacer 1, and 5.8S ribosomal RNA". The record is from RNAcentral.
UUUCCGUAGGUGAACCAGCGGAAGGAUCAUUACCGUACAGAAUGUGAGGGACAUGCGAGGGCUGUCGCUGACACAAAAGUCGUGCACGCCCGAGGGUGUCCUCUUGCAUAAUAAUCCCUCCCACCCUCUGCGCAUCACCGCCUGAGCACCCUUCGGGAUCAUCUCGGUGGGGGGCUCGCGUUUUCACACAAACCCCCCUUUUAAAAGUGUAGAAUGGCCACAUUUAUGCAAUCAAUACAACCUGCAACAACGGAUCCCCUGGCUCACUCAUCGAUGAAG